UGGACCAAUGAUGAUAGCUGGUGGCGUAUGAGUCACAGAUGAUGAAUCCUAUGUGUCUGAAACUCUUGAGGUCCAA
This is a small nucleolar RNA of Hyaena hyaena (striped hyena), 76 nucleotides long. RefSeq annotates it as small nucleolar RNA SNORD113/SNORD114 family. The transcript has a single exon. The record is from RefSeq and is a predicted model, not a curated record. Lineage: Eukaryota; Metazoa; Chordata; Mammalia; Carnivora; Hyaenidae.